Molecule: long non-coding RNA, 398 nt
Organism: Prosopis cineraria
Lineage: Eukaryota; Viridiplantae; Streptophyta; Magnoliopsida; Fabales; Fabaceae
Exons: 3
Source: RefSeq, a predicted model, not a curated record
UGCAAUUUAGAGAAAAUUGCAACUUUUGGCCCAAAGGUUUGAAUAAUUAAAUUCAAACCUAUAGUUUUUUUUAAUAUAAUUUUGGGACUCACAAUCCCAUUUUUAUAUUAUUUUUCUCUCUUCCUCUCACGUUGCUCGGCGUGUUCUCGCAAGGGGGGAUUAUUUUCUUUUUCUUCAGAUUAUAUUGACAAAGAUAGCGGUGAAAAAGGAGUUGUGAAGGGGAACUUGUUAUUCAAGACACAAGGAGCGAGUCCGGCCGAGAAAGCACCAGAGGUGUAACUGUGGUGUAUGAGACACCAUCUUUUAUGUUGCCUCUUAUUUUAGAUUAUACAAUGUAUCUUGUGCCAACUUAGGACAUAUCUUCUUUGUGAAGCAUGUAAACUCUAAUCCUUUUUAUU